Molecule: transfer RNA, 72 nt
Filed under: Marinilabiliaceae bacterium
Lineage: Bacteria; Pseudomonadati; Bacteroidota; Bacteroidia; Marinilabiliales; Marinilabiliaceae
Also listed under: 1 other name
Description: tRNA-Arg
Rfam family: tRNA
About the family: Transfer RNA (tRNA) molecules are approximately 80 nucleotides in length.
Source: RNAcentral
GGCCACGUAGUUUAAUGGAUAGAAUGGGGGAUUCCGGUUCCUCUGAUAUGGGUUCGAGUCCCAUCGAGGUCA